This 1027-nucleotide long non-coding RNA is filed under the name Homo sapiens (human). RNAcentral's name for it is "HSALNT0336127". The record is from RNAcentral. Lineage: Eukaryota; Metazoa; Chordata; Mammalia; Primates; Hominidae.
GUUCUUUUACAGAAUGGCUCUCAAGUCGAAAGAGGGCUGUGCCUUUGGUGUUUGGACAGACCAUAAUUCUCUCAGCAACAAUGUGUGACAACAUUCUUGGAGAAUUGCUAACCAGGGAAGCUCCACCAAGCCUUGGUGUCCAGAUUUUUUCUUGAGGGUUGGUCACGUAGGCAUAGCAUGACUGAUAGCCCAUGUGGCUGACCUUCAGUUUUCAGCCCCUCCAAAGAUGGAGCUGAUACUACAUGGCCUAAGGACUUCACCAUUAAUCACAUUGUUAGCUUAGACUACCUGGUAUGGCCUAAGGCCCCCAAGUAAAUUAAAACAUUCAUAUCAGGCAGGAUAGUCCAAGGACUUAGAGGUUAUCUUGAAUCUGGACACAGGACAAACAUUUCUUUGGAAUGUGAAAAGUUUACACAAUCAAGACUUGCUAUGUUGAUCCUUUACUGCGGUAUUGUUUUUUGUUUUCUGACCCAAAAGUGAUGUGCAUUGCUUACCUAUCAUGGCCUCUGGUUAAGGUGUCAGUCUUGCCUCCAAAUUUCCUCCUAAAGCAUGGAAUUGGCCAUAAAUUUGCUUAGUGAUUUUCUGAUUUAGUAUCAUUAGUUUGAUGACUAGUUUUAUUAUGUGAGUGUGAUAAAAGGUUACGCUUAGUAUACAAAGACCUUCUUAUAAGUCUAGUUAAUAAAACUAGGGCCAUGUGUUACUACAACAUAGGAGUUAACUUUGUCUGGAGGCUUUUUCAAGCCCAAGAGGUUGUCAUUUCUUUAUGUGUAAGAUACUGCCCACAUACUAUACUGAAGUCAGGAACCAAGAACCGGUCAAUUUACCUCAGCCAAGUUGCUUGGACUGCUUUGCUUAAUAAUGGGUUUGCCAUAUCUACUUUAAUGAGAUGUGUGGCAUGGUGAUGGUUACAAAAGUGAUUUGUUAAUUAUUGCCUGGUAGGAAGGAGAACAUGUUUUUUUUGAACCUAUGCAAAUAGCCACAUGUCUGUGAAAAGUAAAGGGAUACUUUUGUGUAAUAUUUAACCAUG